UUGUUUUUCAUGCCAAACAUCAUCAAACAACUAAAAACACUAAGAUAUCAUGAAAUCUAGCAAAAUCCAUCAUCAAAACCUCUCUCCCUAUGUUCGGCCAGCAAGUAUUCCCUCAUGGAAACUUGUGUUUCAUCCAUAGAAAAUGAAAAAGAAAGCAUGGGAAAGGUAGAUCUUAAGCUAAAAUUGAAAAAUCUUACCUUUGAUUGCUUUGUUCUUUGAAAUUCAACAAAUUUCUCUUGAAUUUUCCUCUCUAGGGUUUGUUUCUAUUCUUUUCUAUUUGUUCUUUGCUUUGGCC
This 295-nucleotide long non-coding RNA is filed under the name Theobroma cacao (cacao). RNAcentral describes it as "long non-coding RNA (TCAC_LNC001233)". The record is from RNAcentral. Lineage: Eukaryota; Viridiplantae; Streptophyta; Magnoliopsida; Malvales; Malvaceae.